RNAcentral lists this transfer RNA (84 nucleotides) under Planctomycetota bacterium. Its description in RNAcentral is "tRNA-Leu". It matches the Rfam family "tRNA". From Rfam's summary of the family: Transfer RNA (tRNA) molecules are approximately 80 nucleotides in length. Their secondary structure includes four short double-helical elements and three loops (D, anti-codon, and T loops). RNAcentral also lists the same sequence under 3 other names. The record is from RNAcentral. Lineage: Bacteria; Pseudomonadati; Planctomycetota.
GCCGGAGUGGCGGAAUUGGCAGACGCGGUGGAUUCAAAAUCCACUGUCCGAAAGGGCUUGGGGGUUCGAGUCCCCCCUCCGGUA